Aegilops tauschii subsp. strangulata is the source of this 441-nucleotide non-coding RNA. Lineage: Eukaryota; Viridiplantae; Streptophyta; Magnoliopsida; Poales; Poaceae. The record is from RefSeq and is a predicted model, not a curated record.
CGUUGUACAUGCAUUCCAGAAAAUCCCCAAUCGAGCGCAGCAGCAGCGAGAGUAACCUAGCCAUCGCCGGCUCGCCGCCACAGAGCUCCGCCUCGCCGGACCGUCGGCUUGUCGCCGAAGAGCUCUGCCUCGCCGGGCCACCGGUCGCGGGCACCUGAUCCACAUCCGCCGUUCGCCGGUCCACGUAUGGGCGAACGGAAAGAAGCAGCGGUGCCGAGCGUGGCCCAUAUGGGAGGAGGCAGCGGCGGCAGUGGAUCGAGAUCGAGCUCAUGCAAACGCGCAACUGCUGUUUGCAAAAUCAGCAAGCGCAACCAGCAGGGAAUCUUUAAAAAGAUGAAGCCAAUUGCUGCUUAUUUUGGAACUCCACCAUGUAAUGAAUUUCAAGCUCCUGUUCAUGGAUGGGUAUAAAAAUUGGAAGAAAGCGAUGGAAUAUUUCAGGCU